Molecule: ribosomal RNA, 1209 nt
Filed under: Salmonella enterica subsp. enterica
Lineage: Bacteria; Pseudomonadati; Pseudomonadota; Gammaproteobacteria; Enterobacterales; Enterobacteriaceae
Description: bacterial SSU rRNA
Rfam family: Bacterial small subunit ribosomal RNA
Source: RNAcentral
UGAUGGGAUGCUWGUUGGUGAGGUAACGGCUCACCAAGGCGACGAUCCCUAGCAGUGGUCUGAGAGGAUGACCAGCCACACUGGAACUGAGACACGGUCCAGACUCCUACGGGAGGCAGCAGUGGGGAAUAUUGCACAAUGGGCGCAAGCCUGAUCAGCCAUGCCGCGUGUAUGAAGAAGGCCUUCGGGUUGUAAUUAGUACUUCAGCGGGGAGGAAGGUGUUGUGGUUAAUAACCGCAGCAAUUGACGUUACCCGCAGAAGAAGCACCCGGCUACUCCGUGCCAGCAGCCGCGGUAAUAGGAGGGUGCAAGCGUUAAAUCGGAAUUACUGGGCGUAAAGCGCACGCAGGCGGUCUGUCAAGUCGGAUGUGAAAUCCCCGGGCUCAACCUGGGAACUGCAUUCGAAACUGGCAGGCUUGAGUCUUGUAGAGGGGGGUAGAAUUCCAGGUGUAGCGGUGAAAUGCGUAGAGAUCUGGAGGAAUACCGGUGGCGAAGGCGGCCCCCUGGACAAGACUGACGCUCAGGUGCGAAAGCGUGGGGCAGCAAACAGGAUUAGAUACCCUGGUAGUCCACGCCGUAAACGAUGUCUACUUGGAGGUUGUGCCCUUGAGGCGUGGCUUCCGGAGCUAACGCGUUAAGUAGACCGCCUGGGGAGUACGGCCGCAAGGUUAAUACUCAAAUGAAUUGACGGGGGCCCGCACAAGCGGUGGAGCAUGUGGUAAUUCGAUGCAACGCGAAGAACCGGUUACCUGGUCUUGACAUCCACAGAAGAAUCCAGAGAUGGAUUKGUGCCUUCGGGAACUGUGAGACAGGUGCUGCAUGGCUGUCGUCAGCUCGUGUUGUGAAAUGUUGGGUUAAGUCCCGCAACGAGCGCAACCCUUCCUUUGUAAUGCCAGCGGUCCGGCCGGGAACUCAAAGGAGACUGCCAGUGAUAAACUGGAGGAAGGUGGGGAUGACGUCAAGUCAUCAUGGCCCUUACGACCAGGGCUACACACGUGCUACAAUGGCGCACAAAGAGAAGCGACCUCGCGAGAGCAUCAGCGGACCUCAUAAAGUGCGUCGUAGUCCGGAUUGGAGUCUGCAACUCGACUCCAUGAAGUCGGAAUCGCUAGUAAUCGUGGAUCAGAAUGCCACGGUGAAUACGUUCCCGGGCUUGUACACACCGCCCGUCACACCAUGGGAGUGCGGUUGCAAAAGAAGUAGUAGCUU